This 777-nucleotide ribosomal RNA is filed under the name uncultured bacterium. RNAcentral's name for it is "bacterial SSU rRNA". It matches the Rfam family "Bacterial small subunit ribosomal RNA", at positions 8 to 796 of the family's 1533-position model. The record is from RNAcentral.
AGAGUUUGAUCCUGGCUCAGAACGAACGCUGGCGGCGUGCUUAACACAUGCAAGUCGAACGGAACGUAUUAUGUAGCAAUACAUGAUACGUUUAGUGGCGAACGGGUGAGUAACACGUAGGUAACCUACCUCAGGGAGGGGGAUAACUCCGGGAAAUCGGGGCUAAUACCGCAUAAGACCACGGGCUGGGAUGUUUGUGGUAAAAGCAGCAAUGCACCUUGAGAUGGGCCUGCGGCCUAUCAGGUAGUUGGCGGGGUAACGGCCCACCAAGCCAUAGACGGGUAGCCGGUCUGAGAGGAUGGACGGCCACACUGGAACUGAGACACGGUCCAGACUCCUACGGGAGGCAGCAGUGGGGAAUUUUGCGCAAUGGGGGAAACCCUGACGCAGCGACGCCGCGUGGAGGAUGAAGGCCUUCGGGUUGUAAACUUCUUUUACCGGGGAAAAUUAUGAUGGUACCCGGGGAAUAAGCCACGGCUAACUCUGUGCCAGCAGCCGCGGUAAGACAGAGGUGGCAAGCGUUAUUCGGAAUUAUUGGGCGUAAAGGGCGCGUAGGCGGUUUUUUAAGUCGGAUGUGCAAUCCCCGAGCUCAACUUGGGAACUGCAUCCGAGACUGGAAGGCUAGAGUACUGGAGAGGUUGGUGGAAUUCCACGUGUAGCGGUGAAAUGCGUAGAGAUGUGGAGGAACACCAGUGGCGAAGGCGGCCAACUGGACAGUAACUGACGCUGAGGCGCGAAAGUGUGGGUAGCAAACAGGAUUAGAUACCCUGGUAGUCC